CGCUGCGGCGUGCUUAACACAUGCAAGUCGAGCGGUAAGGCCCUUCGGGGUACACGAGCGGCGAACGGGUGAGUAACACGUGGGUGAUCUGCCUCGUACUUCGGGAUAAGCCUGGGAAACUGGGUCUAAUACCGGAUAUGACUACUGGUUGCAUGACUGGUGGUGGAAAGAUUUAUCGGUGCGAGAUGGGCCCGCGGCCUAUCAGCUUGUUGGUGGGGUAAUGGCCUACCAAGGCGACGACGGGUAGCCGACCUGAGAGGGUGACCGGCCACACUGGGACUGAGACACGGCCCAGACUCCUACGGGAGGCAGCAGUGGGGAAUAUUGCACAAUGGGCGGAAGCCUGAUGCAGCGACGCCGCGUGAGGGAUGACGGCCUUCGGGUUGUAAACCUCUUUCGACAGGGACGAAGCGUGAGUGACGGUACCUGUAGAAGAAGCACCGGCCAACUACGUGCCAGCAGCCGCGGUAAUACGUAGGGUGCGAGCGUUGUCCGGAAUUAC
RNAcentral lists this ribosomal RNA (502 nucleotides) under soil bacterium S91D1. Its description in RNAcentral is "bacterial SSU rRNA". It matches the Rfam family "Bacterial small subunit ribosomal RNA", at positions 34 to 554 of the family's 1533-position model. The record is from RNAcentral.